CCUACGGGAGACAGCAGUGAGGAAUAUUGGUCAAUGGACGAGAGUCUGAACCAGCCAAGUAGCGUGAAGGAUGACUGCCCUAUGGGUUGUAAACUUCUUUUAUAUGGGAAUAAAAUGUUCCACGUGUGUGAUUUUGUAUGUACCAUAUGAAUAAGGAUCGGCUAACUCCGUGCCAGCAGCCGCGGUAAUACGGAGGAUCCGAGCGUUAUCCGGAUUUAUUGGGUUUAAAGGGAGCGUAGGUGGAUUGUUAAGUCAGUUGUGAAAGUUUGCGGCUCAACCGUAAAAUUGCAGUUGAAACUGGCAGUCUUGAGUACAGUAGAGGUGGGCGGAAUUCGUGGUGUAGCGGUGAAAUGCUUAGAUAUAACGAAGAACUCCGAUUGCGAAGGCAGUUCACUGGACUGCAACUGACACUGAGGCUCGAAAGUGUGGGUAUCAAACAGGAUUAGAUACCCGUGUAGUC
Molecule: ribosomal RNA, 460 nt
Filed under: uncultured bacterium
Lineage: Bacteria
Description: partial 16S ribosomal RNA
Rfam family: Bacterial small subunit ribosomal RNA
Source: RNAcentral